Molecule: ribosomal RNA, 253 nt
Filed under: uncultured bacterium
Lineage: Bacteria
Description: partial 16S ribosomal RNA
Rfam family: Bacterial small subunit ribosomal RNA
Source: RNAcentral
UACAGAGACCCCAAGCGUUAUCCGGAAUCAUUGGGCGUAAAGGGUGUGUAGGCGGUUUGGUUAGUCUUCUGUUAAAAUCCCGCGCUCAACGCGGGACCUGCAGGGGAAACGGCCAGACUCGAGGGUGCGAGAGGUGAAUGGAACUCAUGGAGUAGGGGUGAAAUCCGUUGAUAUCAUGGGGAACACCGAAAGCGAAGGCAAUUCACUGGCGCACUUCUGACGCUGAAACACGAAAGCGUGGGUAGCGAACGGG